This 73-nucleotide transfer RNA is filed under the name Paramuricea clavata. It matches the Rfam family "tRNA". From Rfam's summary of the family: Transfer RNA (tRNA) molecules are approximately 80 nucleotides in length. Their secondary structure includes four short double-helical elements and three loops (D, anti-codon, and T loops). Lineage: Eukaryota; Metazoa; Cnidaria; Anthozoa; Malacalcyonacea; Plexauridae. The record is from Rfam by way of RNAcentral.
GACCGCGUAGCUCAGUUGGCAGAGCGUUGGGCUAGUAUUCGAAAUGUCGUAGGUUCGAUUCCCACCGUGGCCA